UGGCUCUCGCAUCGAUGAAGAACGCAGCGAAAUGCGAUAAGUAAUGUGAAUUGCAGAAUUCAGUGAAUCAUCGAAUCUUUGAACGCACCUUGCGCUCCUUGGUAUUCCGAGGAGCAUGCCUGUUUGAGUGUCUUGAAAUCAUCAACCCCUUCCGUUUCGUGCGGGACGUGGGUUGGAGCUGGGGGACCGCGGUCGCAAGGCCGCUCCCCUCAAAUGCGUCGGUUGGGCCUGCGGGUCGGACUUGGUUGGGCGUUGUACCAUCCUCGCUCCUCUCUGAGACCGGUUUCCCCGUCUACUUGUGUGCCCGCCUUCGACUGCCGAUGCUAGUGGCGGUCAAGCAAACUUUGAAAUCUGACCUCAAAUCAGGUAGGACUACCCGCUGA
RNAcentral lists this unclassified non-coding RNA (383 nucleotides) under uncultured fungus. Its description in RNAcentral is "partial contains 5.8S ribosomal RNA and internal transcribed spacer 2". The stretch from base 1 to 133 matches the Rfam family "5.8S ribosomal RNA", at positions 22 to 154 of the family's 154-position model. The record is from RNAcentral. Lineage: Eukaryota; Fungi.